UAGUCGGCGGGGUAACGGCCCACCGAGGCGACGAUGCGUAGGGGUUCUGAGAGGAAGGUCCCCCACACUGGUACUGAGACACGGACCAGACUCCUACGGGAGGCAGCAGUGAGGAAUAUUGGUCAAUGGGCGGGAGCCUGAACCAGCCAAGUCGCGUGAGGGAAGACGGUCCUAUGGAUUGUAAACCUCUUUUGCCGGGGAGCAACGGGGUCCUUGCGAGGGCCUAAUGAGAGUACCCGGAGAAAAAGCAUCGGCUAACUCCGUGCCAGCAGCCGCGGUAAUACGGAGGAUGCGAGCGUUAUCCGGAUUUAUUGGGUUUAAAGGGUGCGUAGGCGGGCUGUUAAGUCAGCGGUCAAAUGUCGGGGCUCAACCCCGGCCUGCCGUUGAAACUGGUGGCCUCGAGUGGGCGAGAAGUAUGCGGAAUGCGUGGUGUAGCGGUGAAAUGCAUAGAUAUCACGCAGAACUCCGAUUGCGAAGGCAGCAUACCGGCGCCCGACUGACGCUGAGGCACGAAAGCGUGGGUAUCGAACAGGAUUAGAUACCCUGGUAGUCCACGCAGUAAACGAUGAAUGCUAGCUGUCCGGGGCUUCGGUCCUGG
RNAcentral lists this ribosomal RNA (598 nucleotides) under uncultured bacterium. RNAcentral's name for it is "bacterial SSU rRNA". It matches the Rfam family "Bacterial small subunit ribosomal RNA", at positions 246 to 842 of the family's 1533-position model. The record is from RNAcentral.